RNAcentral lists this ribosomal RNA (576 nucleotides) under uncultured bacterium. Its description in RNAcentral is "bacterial SSU rRNA". It matches the Rfam family "Bacterial small subunit ribosomal RNA", at positions 102 to 674 of the family's 1533-position model. The record is from RNAcentral.
ACGGGUGAGUAAUACAUCGGAACGUAUCCUGGAGUGGGGGAUAGCCCGGCGAAAGCCGGAUUAAUACCGCAUACGCUCUGAGGAGGAAAGCGGGGGACCUUCGGGCCUCGCGCUCAAGGGGCGGCCGAUGGCGGAUUAGGUAGUUGGUGGGGUAAAGGCCUACCAAGCCGACGAUCCGUAGCUGGUCUGAGAGGACGACCAGCCACACUGGGACUGAGACACGGCCCAGACUCCUACGGGAGGCAGCAGUGGGGAAUUUUGGACAAUGGGGGCAACCCUGAUCCAACAAUGCCGCGUGUGUGAAGAAGGCCUUCGGGUUGUAAAGCACUUUUGUCCGGAAAGAAAUCAUCGGGGCCAAUACCCCUGGUGGAUGACGGUACCGGAAGAAUAAGCACCGGCUAACUACGUGCCAGCAGCCGCGGUAAUACGUAGGGUGCGAGCGUUAAUCGGAAUUACUGGGCGUAAAGCGUGCGCAGGCGGUGCUGUAAGACCGAUGUGAAAUCCCCGGGCUUAACCUGGGAACUGCAUUGGUGACUGCAGCGCUGGAGUAUGGCAGAGGGGGGUGGAAUUCCACGU